CUUCCUCGUAGUACGGAACAACUCAGGGAAACUUGAGCUAAUACCGUAUACGUCCGAGAGGAGAAAGAUUUAUCGCUAUGAGACGGGCCCGCGUCCGAUUAGGUAGUUGGUGGGGUAACGGCCUACCAAGCCGACGAUCGGUAGCUGAUCUGAGAGGAUGAUCAGCCACACUGGGACUGAGACACGGCCCAGACUCCUACGGGAGGCAGCAGUGGGGAAUCUUGGACAAUGGGCGCAAGCCUGAUCCAGCCAUGCCGCGUGAGUGAAGAAGGCCUUAGGGUUGUAAAGCUCUUUUGCCAGGGACGAUAAUGACGGUACCUGGAGAAUAAGCCCCGGCAAACUUCGUGCCAGCAGCCGCGGUAAUACGAAGGGGGCUAGCGUUGUUCGGAAUUACUGGGCGUAAAGCGCACGUAGGCGGGUUGUUAAGUCAGGGGUGAAAUCCCGGAGCUCAACUCCGGAACUGCCUUUGAUACUGGCAAUCUAGAGGCUGGAAGAGGUUAGUGGAAUUCCCAGUGUAGAGGUGAAAUUCGUAGAUAUUGGGAAGAACACCAGUGGCGAAGGCGGCUAACUGGUCCAGUACUGACG
This 585-nucleotide ribosomal RNA is filed under the name uncultured Hyphomicrobiales bacterium. RNAcentral's name for it is "bacterial SSU rRNA". It matches the Rfam family "Bacterial small subunit ribosomal RNA", at positions 126 to 745 of the family's 1533-position model. The record is from RNAcentral. Lineage: Bacteria; Pseudomonadati; Pseudomonadota; Alphaproteobacteria; Hyphomicrobiales.